UCAGGUUGCGUGAUGACCAGUUGCAUAGUUCAAAUGAUAAUCUUUCUUUAGAUUAUGAUUAAUUUGAACGUCUUUCGCUCCUAUCUGACAACCUUA
Molecule: small nucleolar RNA, 96 nt
Organism: Elaeis guineensis (African oil palm)
Lineage: Eukaryota; Viridiplantae; Streptophyta; Magnoliopsida; Arecales; Arecaceae
Product: small nucleolar RNA snR60/Z15/Z230/Z193/J17
Source: RefSeq, a predicted model, not a curated record